GAUGAACGCUGGCGGCGUGCCUAAUACAUGCAAGUCGAGCGAACAGACGAGGAGCUUGCUCCUCUGACGUUAGCGGCGGACGGGUGAGUAACACGUGGAUAACCUACCUAUAAGACUGGGAUAACUACGGGAAACCGGAGCUCAUACCGGAUAAUAUAUUGAACCGCAUGGUUCAAUAGUGAAAGACGGUUUUGCUGUCACUUAUAGAUGGAUCCGCGCCGCAUUAGCUGGUUGGUAAGGUAACGGCUUACCAAGUCAACGAUGCGUAGCCGACCUGAGAGGGUGAUCGGCCACACUGGAACUGAGACACGGUCCAGACUCCUACGGGAGGCAGCAGUAGGGAAUCUUCCGCAAUGGGCGAAAGCCUGACGGAGCAACGCCGCGUGAGUGAUGAAGGUCUUCGGAUCGUAAAACUCUGUUAUUAGGGAAGAACAAAUGUGUAAGUAACUAUGCACGUCUUGACGGUACCUAAUCAGAAAGCCACGGCUAACUACGUG
Molecule: ribosomal RNA, 497 nt
Filed under: uncultured bacterium
Lineage: Bacteria
Description: partial 16S ribosomal RNA
Rfam family: Bacterial small subunit ribosomal RNA
Source: RNAcentral